AACGAACGCUGGCGGCAUGCCUAACACAUGCAAGUCGAACGAGACCUUCGGGUCUAGUGGCGCACGGGUGCGUAACGCGUGGGAACCUGCCCUUAGGUUCGGAAUAACUCCCCGAAAGGGGUGCUAAUACCGGAUAAUGUCUUCGGACCAAAGAUUUAUCGCCUUUGGAUGGGCCCGCGUUGGAUUAGCUAGUUGGUAGGGUAAAAGCCUACCAAGGCGACGAUCCAUAGCUGGUCUGAGAGGAUGAUCAGCCACACUGGGACUGAGACACGGCCCAGACUCCGACGGGAGGCAGCAGUGGGGAAUAUUGGACAAUGGACGAAAGCCUGAUCCAGCAAUGCCGCGUGAGUGAUGAAGGCCUUAGGGUUGUAAAGCUCUUUUACCCGGGAUGAUAAUGACAGUACCGGGAGAAUAAGCUCCGGCUAACUCCGUG
RNAcentral lists this ribosomal RNA (433 nucleotides) under uncultured bacterium. RNAcentral describes it as "partial 16S ribosomal RNA". It matches the Rfam family "Bacterial small subunit ribosomal RNA", at positions 29 to 507 of the family's 1533-position model. The record is from RNAcentral.